GUUUACGACAGUCUUGAGAUUUCGAUAAUUCGAAAGCUCUAGAAAUGAUUUUAAUAUAUAAAGCAGAGCUCUAACAGUCGUAAUCGGUCAACGAUUUGAUGCUAUAGUCAAUAUAUCGAGAUAGUGAACUAAAAAGUGCAAUUUAAAUAAAGUAGAUGUUGAAUGUGUACAUAAAUAUUGGUGAAUUUAAAUGUGUAAAUUAGUGCAUGAUUAAAUUACGUUCGAUCAAACUGAAGAUUAAGCUCUGAAGUUCAAAGCCUUCCGCUUUAGAAUGAUUAUAAAAACUCCAGGAGUUUCUGAUUUAGAUAACCUAGAAUACUUGAAAAAGGAAAUGAAACUGGAGAAAUGAAUGAAAAUUAGUUUGUCUUACUGUUAGAUAGAUUUGGAAAGUGGUCAGCCUUUAAUGGAUUAUCCAAAAUUUAAGUGUAAUAAUGGCAAUAUCAAAAAGAAUAACUUUUUUGUCACUAGAUAUAGUUUCCGGCAUUAAGUAAAGGUGUCAAAUUUUUAUAUUCGAUGAAUAUUUUUCUCUUUAUGUGAAGGCUGCUUCCUUGAUUUCGGCUGUCGUGGCUGGAAUCAGUUACUAGGUUAAGGAAUUAUUGAUUAACCAGGGAAAGGUCAAGGAUGAAAUGGCAGUUUGGAGAACCUAUGAAUGGCCAGUACAUCCUGUCAAUAAAGGAUAUAAACGAAUAAAAAAUAAUUGUAUAGGUAUAUAAGGUUUUUUUUCGUUUCCUACACAUUUUAUAUUUUACUAAAUCUUGUAUCUUUAUUUGAAAAAUGUCCGACAUAUACGGGAAGGCUCAAAAAAAUUCAACAGAAAUUUUUCUAAUAGCCAAAUAUCGUUCAUCUUUCGCUAAUAUUGACAGAAGUUUGUAUAGGACUCAUAAUUUAAUUAUUCAAAGAAAUAACUUCUUAGAAUACACAAACUAAAUGCAAAUAAAUAAAUAUCAAAAAUAAUAUUAUAUGAAAAGUUUGGCUAGCACAAAUGUUGUACCCACAGAACAUACCCUAAGAACAGUGUUCCCAGCUCUCAAAAAUUCAUCUCCCUAAAGCCCCAAUCCAAAACUCCCAAAAUCCUUACAAUUACCAGGGAGUCCUCCUAAAAAAUUCUAUAAUUUAUAAAAUAAAUAAACAACAUUAAAAAAAAUCAUUAAACAAAUAAAAAUUUCAAACAAUCAAAAAAUGAUUUUAUUCAGCAACACCAUUUUUUUAAAUUCUUUAUUCAUAAAUUAACGAAAACUUCAAGCAACAAGUCAUUUUCCUCAGAUUCUGAUUUUUAAAAUCAUACAUAUUGACAUUAAAUAAUUUUAACAUUUUUGCGGAUGGUUGAAACGUUGUGCAUGAUCCACCAUUCCGUUGCAGCGUGGACAGAACCAUAAUCAUAAUUUUUAACAUUUUCAUCCAUAUUCUUUACAGUGUUAUAAAAAUCGCUAAAAAUACCCCUAAAAACAACCCAUGCCACAUCUUUUCCCCCUAAAUUUGGGAGAAAACCCCUAAGUUGGUAACCCUGCCUAAUAAGAAAUGCAAACUUAGUUGUUAUUGAGUGUAAACAACAUGGCAGAUGUUUGACGUCAGUGACCUCGAUGGUAUGUGGCAGAAUGCAAUUAUUUUCACAGUUCAGUUUACGACACAGAAUAUCUAUUCUAUUUUUUGUUAUUGAUUUCCACCCAGUUCCACCAGAAAUAAAACAGUAAUUCAGUCAAACAGAUUGCACAUCAUUACGAUGAUACACUACUACUUACUAUAUUCUGUAAUUAUAUGUUAUUAAAUAAAAUUGUAAGUUGAAA
Molecule: long non-coding RNA, 1784 nt
Organism: Diorhabda sublineata
Lineage: Eukaryota; Metazoa; Arthropoda; Insecta; Coleoptera; Chrysomelidae
Exons: 3
Source: RefSeq, a predicted model, not a curated record